RNAcentral lists this ribosomal RNA (329 nucleotides) under uncultured bacterium. RNAcentral's name for it is "bacterial SSU rRNA". It matches the Rfam family "Bacterial small subunit ribosomal RNA", at positions 38 to 353 of the family's 1533-position model. The record is from RNAcentral.
GGCGGCGUGCUUAUCACAUGCAAGUCGAACGCGAAAGGGACUUCGGUCCUGAGUAAAGUGGCGCACGGGUGAGUAACGCGUGGAUAAUCUACCCGAUGGACCGGGAUAACAUUUCGAAAGGGGUGCUAAUACCGGAUAAGACCACGGCUUCUUAGGGGGCUGCGGUAAAAGGUGGGGACCUUCGGGCCUACCGUCAUCGGAUGAGUCCGCGUACCAUUAGCUAGUUGGUAGGGUAAGGGCCUACCAAGGCGACGAUGGUUAGCUGGUCUGAGAGGAUGAUCAGCCACACUGGAACUGAGACACGGUCCAGACUCCUACGGGAUGCAGCA